GGACGAACGCUGGCGGCGUGCUUAACACAUGCAAGUCGAACGGAAAGGCCCUGCUUUUGUGGGGUGCUCGAGUGGCGAACGGGUGAGUAACACGUGAGUAACCUGCCCUUGACUUUGGGAUAACUUCAGGAAACUGGGGCUAAUACCGGAUAGGAGCUCCUGCUGCAUGGUGGGGGUUGGAAAGUUUCGGCGGUUGGGGAUGGACUCGCGGCUUAUCAGCUUGUUGGUGGGGUAGUGGCUUACCAAGGCUUUGACGGGUAGCCGGCCUGAGAGGGUGACCGGCCACAUUGGGACUGAGAUACGGCCCAGACUCCUACGGGAGGCAGCAGUGGGGAAUAUUGCACAAUGGGCGGAAGCCUGAUGCAGCAACGCUGCGUGCGGGAUGACGGCCUUCGGGUUGUAAACCGCUUUCGCCUGUGACGAAGCGUGAGUGACGGUAAUGGGUAAAGAAGCACCGGCUAACUACGUG
RNAcentral lists this ribosomal RNA (469 nucleotides) under uncultured bacterium. RNAcentral's name for it is "partial 16S ribosomal RNA". It matches the Rfam family "Bacterial small subunit ribosomal RNA", at positions 27 to 507 of the family's 1533-position model. The record is from RNAcentral.